UUAAUUAAUAAAUUAAUUUUAAAAAAAUUUUUUGCAGUUUGUUCAAAGACAGCUGGAGAGAGACACGGGACCUGGUGCUCCAAUCCAUUGCUGCAGAACUUGACCGUCAAUCCUGGAGAAGUGGCCCAGGCCAGCUGGAGAUUAUCCACAGGUGCCGUGAUCACAUCGAGUCCAAAGGAAUGGUGCCAAGCGUCCAGAGUGACCAGGGGCAGGAACCAAGAAGAUGGUUCCCAAGAGUCACCUCUGCUUGGCCUUGUUUCCCACUGAAGCCCGGUUCAUGCCCUCUGCCCACACUGUGAAUGACGCCUAGCCGUUCAAGUCCUGGAAUUGAGGGGCGGGUUUCUUGGCUGGUGAAGAAACCGCUCUAUCUCCAUCUGCCUUGUUCUGUGAAGUUUGGGGGAGACUCUCCUGCACCCACAUGACCUCCUGAUUGAGAAGCACCCCUCCUGUUGGACCCCUUAACCAGAGCCCGGCCUGGGACGAGCCGCCAGCCUCCCACUUCCUCCAUCCCGGGGCCCUGUGAAGCCUAGAGCUCUGGAAGGGCUCACAGCAGCGGCCUCUGUGCCCCUCAGGAGAGAGAAGCUGGAAGGACCAAGAAUGUGCUGUUACAGACCAGACUUCCUGCCCCAGGUGCCCUCUGACCUUGGGUAAUUACAGCUUCCGGGAGUGGUUGGCUCCCCAUCUAGCAAAUGGAGAUAAUGAGGCCCUACAUCUCGGGGCUAUUGAAGGUUUAAUUGAUUCAUGGUGGCGACACGGUUGGGAAUCCUGGCCUGGAAUUCAGCGGAGGCUGCUCAUCGACAAGGUCAACAAGGAUUCUGUGUUGGUGUAUGAAACAUUCUGGAAGCCCUUGGACAGCGAUGUUGGAAAGGCAAAAGAAAACCUGUGACGUGUCCAUACCAGUCAAGAGGAAGCACUGACCCUUGCAGAAUGGGAGGAGUCCAGUGUAAGCAGCUUACCACCAAUUGGUUGGUUGGUCCCCACUUUAUGGGGAACUCAGCCCUGUUCCUGUUGCCAGUUGGUUGGACAUUCAGCAGUGGCGGUAGCUAGACCAGCCCUGACGUGAAGCCUGGGCUCCAAGAAGUGGAAUCUUUUCCCAAUUCUUCUGACACUAGGUGCCAACAGGAGGCCCAUGGGAGCUUAAGGAUGAGAAAGUCCUGAUACUGGCGAUUUUACCCGGGUACCAAACAAACGCUUAUUACUGGAAUUGUGUGCACUGUCAAGUCUUAAUGCCCUUGGAGUGAAAAAGACUAAGGCAAACUGAAAGUCACUGGAUGCCUUUAUUCUUGUUUUGAAGAAAAGAAAAAUGUAACGAUCUCAUCAGAAACCUCCAAAACAGAGUACCUUCUGUUCUCAUUGUGAAUGUUCUACGUUUGAGAGAAAGGUCAGGUCCUUCUUGUUUUUUGUGACAUCAGAAAGAAAUGUUUCUAAAUGCACUCACACUGGCAUUCAUUUCUACCUUUAGCUUUACACGGAGGAGCAGCCUUGUGGCUCCAACGUACAGGCAGCUCUUACAAGUCGUAUAUUUCCUUAUUCUAGAAAUAUUCCCCAGCAUUCUGUGAGUUGUGACGCUCACUUUUCCCUUUGCCCACCUCAUUUGGUUGUAGUGAGCUGCAGCCGUGGUGACAGGGAGUGUGGAAAUGCCCCAUGACGAUGUUGUACUUCUGAAAAUGUAAGGCACCCUUGUUUUUGUUGCCAUGGGCAGCCUUGGCCCAGGCUGAGUUUUCUCCCGUCAAUGAGCCUUUCCCCAGGAGAAGAAAAACAUUCUGGUUCCCUUUCCCCUUCUCCUGGUUCAUAUUUCAUAAUCUUUUCCCUCCUGCCUAUUGACACAGCAGGUUGGGAAAAAUUCUCUUGAUUGCAAUUCAUCAGUCAGGGGCUACAGCAGAGUCCGUGCCAUCCACUCUAGGGGUGGGGACAGGAAGCAGCAGCUGACCCACUUCUGGGAUUCCACUGCUGUGCCCACCCCCAUGCCCUACCUCCACAGUCUCAGGGUAAGGCCGCUGGUCAGCAACCUCUCUCAGUGCUUCUGGCUCACUGGCCUGGUGCUAGAGUGAGGUUUUGGUACAAGCCUAAUCCCCAGGAGUGGAAUGGGUUCUGCCCAGGAGAACUCUGCCUGCACCGUUCAGAGCCAGUGAAGAGGCCAAGAAGACAGAAGGUUUUGUUUUCUCUGACAGUCAAACUGCACCAAUGUGACAAAUGUGGCCUGUUCUCCUCCCUCUUUCCCCCCUCAUCCAGAUCCUACCUGGAUUGCUCCCUCUUGGAGGUCCCUUCCCCUAGGGCCGCUGUGCAAACACAGCAUCCCAGGUUGUUCGACAUUACACAAAGGUACUUAAGAGCUGGGUUCUCCUGCUCACUGCUCCUUGACUGUGAACACAGUGCAUUUGCUCCACGCGGAGAACAGCUCUAUGGCUGCCACAUGCUUUAAAGGAACCACUGUGCUCUGCAUUUUAAAAAUAAAGUCUGCCCCCCCCCAAAUAAAUAUCUUACUCACAAGGUUGUCCUCUCACAGAUGUCAUCAGGCAUUUAUGAAUUAGCUACUAAACACUACCAGAAAAGCACCCGGGAAAGAGAUGAAGUGUAGAUGAAGUGAAAUUAGCCAGAGGUGAGAACUCAAAUCCAACUGGUCUGAAGCAACUGAAUUUGUGCUAAAAGGCAAAUUCUGGUUACAGGUAAAGGCGCCUCCUCCCGGAAUUCCUGUUACCUUUCCCCCUUAAAAGCAAAUUCAUAUUUCUAGAGUUUAUAUUCUGAGAAAUUGGAAUUAGAAGAAGCCAGCAAGAGACAGUGAUCCUUGAGACUGUUCUCGAAGCAUGUUGUGGGCAAAGAAAAGCAGAUUUUAGAAUCAGUGCCACGAUAAUCUGUUUGUAUCUAAAUAUUGUAACAAAAAUUGCUAAUCUCGUCUAUAACUGAGUCUCUCUUCUCACACAUUCUCUUUUCUCUCAUGGUUUUUGAGCCAUUUUCCAGUUUCAGGCUUACACUGUUUUUAUUGUCUGGUCACAUUAUGCUGGAAGAUAAUGCCACACCUUUGCUGAAGCCUUUUGGAAAGUUUCACAGCAGAUAGACGGACACAGCCAUUUUCAAAGAGUGGUCUACAGAUUCCUGGAAGUCCACAAGACCUUUUCAGGGGAUUAGAAAGGUCAAAGCUAUUUUCUUUAAGAUACUAAGAUGUUAUUUGCCUUGCUGCUGUGUUGACAUUUGCACUGGUGUGAAAGCAAUGGUGGGCAAACCUGCUGGUGCCUUUGCACAAGUCAAGAUACCAGGCAGUAGUCAUUGUGUUCUUAAC
Long non-coding RNA from Delphinapterus leucas (beluga whale), 3277 nucleotides. RefSeq lists it as uncharacterized. The record is from RefSeq and is a predicted model, not a curated record. NCBI's taxonomy places the organism in Eukaryota, Metazoa, Chordata, Mammalia, Artiodactyla, Monodontidae.